This 725-nucleotide ribosomal RNA is filed under the name uncultured bacterium. RNAcentral describes it as "bacterial SSU rRNA". It matches the Rfam family "Bacterial small subunit ribosomal RNA", at positions 771 to 1501 of the family's 1533-position model. The record is from RNAcentral.
AACAGGAUUAGAUACCCUGGUAGUCCACGCCCUAAACGAUGUCUACUAGUUGUCGGGUCUUAAUUGACUUGGUAACGCAGCUAACGCGUGAAGUAGACCGCCUGGGGAGUACGGUCGCAAGAUUAAAACUCAAAGGAAUUGACGGGGACCCGCACAAGCGGUGGAUGAUGUGGAUUAAUUCGAUGCAACGCGAAAAACCUUACCUACCCUUGACAUGGGUGGAAUCCUGAAGAGAUUUGGGAGUGCUCGAAAGAGAACCAUCACACAGGUGCUGCAUGGCUGUCGUCAGCUCGUGUCGUGAGAUGUUGGGUUAAGUCCCGCAACGAGCGCAACCCUUGUCAUUAGUUGCUACGAAAGGGCACUCUAAUGAGACUGCCGGUGACAAACCGGAGGAAGGUGGGGAUGACGUCAAGUCCUCAUGGCCCUUAUGGGUAGGGCUUCACACGUCAUACAAUGGUACAUACAGAGGGCCGCCAACCCGCGAGGGGGAGCUAAUCCCAGAAAGUGUAUCGUAGUCCGGAUUGGAGUCUGCAACUCGACUCCAUGAAGUUGGAAUCGCUAGUAAUCGCGGAUCAGCAUGUCGCGGUGAAUACGUUCCCGGGUCUUGUACACACCGCCCGUCACACCAUGGGAGCGGGUUUUACCAGAAGUGGGUAGCCUAACCGUAAGGAGGGCGCUCACCACGGUAGGAUUCGUGACUGGGGUGAAGUCGUAACAAGGUAACC